This 401-nucleotide unclassified non-coding RNA is filed under the name soil metagenome. RNAcentral describes it as "partial contains 5.8S ribosomal RNA, internal transcribed spacer 2, and large subunit ribosomal RNA". The stretch from base 2 to 121 matches the Rfam family "5.8S ribosomal RNA", at positions 36 to 154 of the family's 154-position model. The record is from RNAcentral.
UAUGAAGAACGUAGUGAAAUGCGAUAAGUAAUGUGAAUUGCAGAAUUCAGUGAAUCAUCGAAUCUUUGAACGCACCUUGCGCCCUUUGGCCAUUCCGAAGGGCAUGCCUGUUUGAGUAUCAUGAACACCUCAACUCUCAUGGCUUGCCAUGAUGAGCUUGGACUUUGGGGGUCUUGCUGGCCUGUGGUCGGCUCCUCUCAAAUGAAUCAGCUUGCCAGUGUUUGGUGGCAUCACAAGUGUGAUAACUAUCUGCGCUCGUGGUUUCCAUCAGAUAACCUCCAGUGAUGGAGGUUCGCUGGAGCUCAUAAAUGUCUCUCCUAAGCGAGGACAGCUCUUUUAAUGUUUGAUCUCAAAUCAGGUAGGACUACCCGCUGAACUUAAGCAUAUCAAUAAGCGGAGGA